AUGUGAACUUACCUAUGUUGCCUCGGCGGGGAACCUACCUACCCGGGAAGCUACCCGCCGGCGGACCAUUCCAAACUCUUGAUUUUGUUUUAGCACUUCUGAAUUAUCAUAAAUUUGGUUAAAACUUUCAACAACGGAUCUCUUGGUUCUGGCAUCGAUGAAGAACGCAGCGAAAUGCGAUAAGUAGUGUGAAUUGCAGAAUUCAGUGAAUCAUCGAAUCUUUGAACGCACAUUGCGCCCAUUAGUAUUCUAGUGGGCAUGCCUGUUCGAGCGUCAUUUCAACCCUCAAGCCUUAGUUGCUUGGUGUUGGGAGCUUAUCCUGCCGAAAGGCGGAUAACUCCUUAAAACCAUUGGCGGAGUCGCGGUGACCCCCAAGCGUAGUAAUUUUUAUUUCCUCGCUUUAGGCGUUAACGCUGGCCUCUAGCCGCUAAACCCCCUAAUUUUUUUAAUGGUUGACCUCGGAUCAGGUAGGACUACCCGCUGAACUUAAGCAUAUCAAUAAGCGG
This 506-nucleotide ribosomal RNA is filed under the name Sordariales sp. RNAcentral's name for it is "eukaryotic LSU rRNA". The stretch from base 123 to 276 matches the Rfam family "5.8S ribosomal RNA". The record is from RNAcentral. Lineage: Eukaryota; Fungi; Ascomycota; Sordariomycetes; Sordariales.